AGAGAAUGACCUAUUUCUUCUUUGUAAUAAGUGGCCAUAUUUUGUUUAUCCAUAGAUAAACCAGCACUGUAGCAUACUUCUGGUUUUUGUGACCUCUCCAAAACCUUUGCGCAGGCAUUUCCUGAUUCCUGCAUUCUGCAGAUUUAGAACCAAAAGAGCCUGAAGAGCAGUACAGGGAUUGUUCCUGACAUCGUCAAAAAAGGUCUCGUGACUUCUGUUCACGCAAACUCCUCAGAAGAGAAGGAGGGAAAGGAGACAAGAGAAGCAUACUUAAAUCCUUUAGUCAAGUCAAACUAUCCAGGUACUGUUACUACUAAGAGUCUUCUAAAAGGACUGUCUUGUCCGAGGAGUUGCACAUCAUGAGUGCUGGUUUUACACCCUCACUGCAGAUUGUGGCUCUGCUCUCUUCUGGUUCGCCUUGGGACAGGAUUAUAAUGAGUAAAGACAACAGAUACUCCCAGGAUAUCUGCAGAUGAAGAGAAAGGAAGGCAAAGAAGAAAGAUUAAAAUAUCUGACUUCAUUGAGUUAGAUCUUCAGGACAGGUG
This 545-nucleotide long non-coding RNA is filed under the name Dromaius novaehollandiae (emu). Its description in RNAcentral is "lncRNA (ENSDNVG00000015701.1)". The record is from RNAcentral. Lineage: Eukaryota; Metazoa; Chordata; Aves; Casuariiformes; Dromaiidae.